Molecule: ribosomal RNA, 491 nt
Filed under: uncultured bacterium
Lineage: Bacteria
Description: bacterial SSU rRNA
Rfam family: Bacterial small subunit ribosomal RNA
Source: RNAcentral
GAGUUUGAUCCUGGCUCAGAAUGAACGUUGGCGGCGUGGAUUAGGCAUGCAAGUCGUACGCACAGCUUCGGCUGUGAGUGGCGCAAGGGUGAGUAAUGCGAAGGUAACCAACCUGGAGUUGGGCAUAACCGCGGGAAACUGCGGGUAAUUCCCAGCGAUGUCGCGAGAUGGCAUCAUCUUGCGACCAAAGGUGUGAUUCCGCUCUAGGACGGGCCUUCGUGGUAUUAGGUAGUUGGUGAGGUAACGGCUCACCAAGCCGACGAUGCCUACCGGGUGUGAGAGCAUGACCCGGCACACUGGAACUGAGACACUGUCCAGACACCUACGGGUGGCUGCAGUCGAGAAUCUUCGGCAAUGGGCGAAAGCCUGACCGAGCGACGCCGCGUGAGGGAAGAAGGCCUUCGGGUUGUAAACCUCUUUCGUAGAGGAGGAAGGGGCCGUGCAGAGCGGUCUUUGACCUAUUCUAGGAAGAAGCUUGGGCUAAGUUCGUG